UGUAUUCAAAUCUAAUUAUAAUUAGGAUUGGGAUAAUACAAAAAUAUACUUUUUGCUUAGUGAUAGGCCUAUCUAUUACAUUGUGACAGAAUUUUGUUUCUCAAUAAUUCUCAUCCUGAGUGCCAAACUGAUCAACUGCAUCCUAAUGGAACGUUCAAGAUGUGAUUCAGUAACUGAUACGGUUGUUGCAAUAAUUAUUUUUGACCAAAUUGAAUCCACAAAAUAAUUGAAGAAAUGGUUUCAGAUGAUUACGAACAAGCGCAGCUAUCUUUGGAGGGGUAAUGCACCUACUGAUAUUCCGUGAUAAGAACUUGGGAGAGAUUUAGUGAAAACCUGGAGAACGGCCACUUAGCUCACAAAUCUGAGCUGUUCACAUCAAGCUGAUAUUUGUGACAGCCAUUAUAGCUUUAAUCAUUUUCUCGAUUGAUCAAAGCACCACAGACUGCAUCGUUCGUCACCUCUGCCUUAAGUGCGUUAUCA
Nilaparvata lugens (brown planthopper) is the source of this 480-nucleotide long non-coding RNA. RefSeq lists it as uncharacterized. Lineage: Eukaryota; Metazoa; Arthropoda; Insecta; Hemiptera; Delphacidae. The record is from RefSeq and is a predicted model, not a curated record. The transcript is spliced from 4 exons.